GGCCUACGGGGGGCAGCAGUGAGGAAUAUUGGUCAAUGGACGAGAGUCUGAACCAGCCAAGUAGCGUGAAGGAUGACUGCCCUAUGGGUUGUAAACUUCUUUUAUAUGGGAAUAAAGUGAGCCACGUGUGGCUUUUUGUAUGUACCAUACGAAUAAGGAUCGGCUAACUCCGUGCCAGCAGCCGCGGUAAUACGGAGGAUCCGAGCGUUAUCCGGAUUUAUUGGGUUUAAAGGGUGCGUAGGCGGAAUAUCAAGUCAGCGGUAAAAAUUCGG
Molecule: ribosomal RNA, 272 nt
Filed under: uncultured bacterium
Lineage: Bacteria
Description: partial 16S ribosomal RNA
Rfam family: Bacterial small subunit ribosomal RNA
Source: RNAcentral